AAAACAACUCUCAGCAACGGAUAUCUUGGCUCUUGCAACGAUGAAGAACGCAGCGAAAUGCGAUACGUAGUGUGAAUUGCAGAAUUCCGCGAAUCAUCGAGUCUUUGAACGCAAGUUGCGCCCGAGGCUUGUCCGAGGGCAUUUCCGCUAGAGCGUCACCGCGCCCCCCCACCCUCCCCACCCCUCCCCGCGCGGGUCGGGUCGGGUCGAGUGAAAGUG
RNAcentral lists this ribosomal RNA (219 nucleotides) under Canalohypopterygium tamariscinum. RNAcentral describes it as "5.8S ribosomal RNA". The stretch from base 6 to 158 matches the Rfam family "5.8S ribosomal RNA". Rfam says of the family: 5.8S ribosomal RNA (5.8S rRNA) is a component of the large subunit of the eukaryotic ribosome. It is transcribed by RNA polymerase I as part of the 45S precursor that also contains 18S and 28S rRNA. Lineage: Eukaryota; Viridiplantae; Streptophyta; Bryopsida; Hookeriales; Hypopterygiaceae. The record is from RNAcentral.